This is a long non-coding RNA of Erinaceus europaeus (western European hedgehog), 533 nucleotides long. RefSeq lists it as uncharacterized. Lineage: Eukaryota; Metazoa; Chordata; Mammalia; Eulipotyphla; Erinaceidae. The transcript has 4 exons. The record is from RefSeq and is a predicted model, not a curated record.
UUACUUUUGUAUCCCUUGUAGAGAUACAGCUCAGAUGACCCCUCAGGAAGGGCUGUGGGGUGCCCUUGUGUAGGGGGCCACCUCCUCCACAGACAUUCUCCUCUCCCCCCAAAGUAGUCUGAUCAGACCUUUGAGGUAGGGGAAAGCCACUAUGGUCAGUGCUCAGAUGGGGGGUGCACUGGGCUGAUGGAAAUGCAGUGAGAGACAUUCACUCCAGCAAGGGACUCAGAGGACCCACUCUAAAGCCCCAUCUAUACCAAGUCCUGAGGAAGAGGAAGGAAGAUGUGCUCCAGCCCCCCUAGGUGCAAUUCCACGGAGAGGGACACCUGUGCUAGGCCCAGAUGGAGGAAGGGUCACAGGGAGGAAGUAAUGAAGGAUGGAAGAAAUGGAUGAAGAAAACAAGGAAGGAGGGGCUCUCACGGUCCCUCAGGCUUUGGAAGUGGCCCUGUUGAGUCAACUCCUGCCUCACCUGCUCCUCCACCCCUACCUGGAGAGGCCCCCCAACAUGCUCACAUCAAACUCUGUGCAUUUGA